GCCCGCUUGGCUCAGUGGUAGAGCGUGUCACUCGUAAUGACAAGGUCAUCAGUUCGAUUCUGAUAGUGGGCA
This 72-nucleotide transfer RNA is filed under the name Lentithecium fluviatile CBS 122367. It matches the Rfam family "tRNA". From Rfam's summary of the family: Transfer RNA (tRNA) molecules are approximately 80 nucleotides in length. Their secondary structure includes four short double-helical elements and three loops (D, anti-codon, and T loops). The record is from Rfam by way of RNAcentral. Lineage: Eukaryota; Fungi; Ascomycota; Dothideomycetes; Pleosporales; Lentitheciaceae.